This 492-nucleotide ribosomal RNA is filed under the name uncultured bacterium. RNAcentral's name for it is "partial 16S ribosomal RNA". It matches the Rfam family "Bacterial small subunit ribosomal RNA", at positions 29 to 507 of the family's 1533-position model. The record is from RNAcentral.
AGUGAACGCUGGCGGUAGGCCUAACACAUGCAAGUCGAACGGCAGCACAGUGAUAGCUUGCUCUUACGGGUGGCGAGUGGCGGGCGGGUGAGGAAUACAUCCGAAUCUACUUUUUCGUGGGGGAUAACGUAGGGGAACUUACUCUAAUACCGCAUACGACCUACGGGUGAAAGGAGGGGAUCUUCGGACCUUGCGCGAUUGGAUGAGCCGCUGUUGGAUUAGCUAGUUGGCGGGGGACUGGCCCACCAAGUCGACGAUCCGUAGCUGGUCGGAGAGGAGGGUCAGCCACACUGGAAGUGAGACACGGUCCAUACGCCUACGGGAGGGAGCAGUGGGGAAUAUUGGGCAAUGGGCGCAAGCCUGAUCCAGCCAUACCGCGUGGGUGAAGAAGGCGUUCGGGUCGUAAAGCCCUUUUGUUGGGAAAGAAAAGCAGCAGGUUAAUACGCCGCUGUUCUGACGGUACCCAAAGAAUAAGCACCGGCUAACUUCGUG